Felis catus (domestic cat) is the source of this 624-nucleotide long non-coding RNA. RefSeq lists it as uncharacterized. The transcript has 2 exons. The record is from RefSeq and is a predicted model, not a curated record. NCBI's taxonomy places the organism in Eukaryota, Metazoa, Chordata, Mammalia, Carnivora, Felidae.
CUUCCUUUCCAGGGCGCGGCGAUUCGCGUUAUGGAAAUCUCCGUUCCGGAAAGGUGGUUGGGGUAAUCGCCAUCUUGCGGCUGGCAGGUGCCCGCGGUGCUUAGGAAGGAGGCGGACUGUGUUGGAAUCUGGAGGAUUUUUUUUCUGACAGAAGUCACUAUUUAGCCGUAGUUUCCUGGCAAAAAAGGGGUAUCUGCCCGUCGGUAAUCUCAAACUGGCGUCUCAACGUUUAAAAUGCCCAGCCUGAUGAGUUGCCUGAUAGCACCUUUUAAUCUCGGAUUAAAAGCACUUGUUGAAAUAGUUUGCCGCACUUCCGAUGUGCAUUCUGGUUAUCUUUCUGGAAAAUGUGAACCUCUUAAACUCUUAAAUGGGACCCUCAAUUCCUGACAAAUUCGCGAAGAAUGAUGAACUGUUAUUUAAUGCCCGCUAUUUGCUCCCAGUCCCAUAAUGAUAAAUCCAACUGAAUUCUUUCCAUAAAUAUGUUUCUUGUACACUCCACAGGUAAACUUGCCUCAACACUAUCGCUUAGAAACUGUUCAACGUGGAUGGCAAAUGUCAAAACUAAGAUACGAACUCAACUGUGACUACAAUACAAGAGUGGUCUUAACCACUUCGUUAUCUUGA